CCUAGUGGCGGACGGGUGAGUAACGCGUGACCAACCUACCCAUAAGUUGGGGAUGACACUGGGAAACUGGUGCUAAUACCGCAUAAGCUUGUUAUCUCGCAUGGGGGACACAGUAAAGAUGGCCUAUAGGGGCUAUCGCUUAUGGAUGGGCUCGCGUCUGAUUAGCUAGUUGGUGGGGUAACGGCCUACCAAGGCGACGA
This 200-nucleotide ribosomal RNA is filed under the name uncultured bacterium. Its description in RNAcentral is "partial 16S ribosomal RNA". It matches the Rfam family "Bacterial small subunit ribosomal RNA", at positions 91 to 279 of the family's 1533-position model. The record is from RNAcentral.